ACGAAGUGCUUCGGCACUUAGUGGCGGACGGGUGAGUAACGCGUGAGAAUCUGCCAAAAGGACUGGGACAACAGCUGGAAACGGCUGCUAAUACCGGAUAUGCCAGAAAGUGAAAUGGGUAAAACCGCCUUUUGAUGAGCUCGCGUCCGAUUAGCUAGUUGGUGGGGUAAAAGCCUACCAAGGCGACGAUCGGUAACUGGUCUGAGAGGAUGACCAGUCACACUGGGACUGAGACACGGCCCAGACUCCUACGGGAGGCAGCAGUGGGGAAUUUUCCGCAAUGGGCGAAAGCCUGACGGAGCAAUACCGCGUGAGGGAGGAAGGCUCUUGGGUUGUAAACCUCUUUUCUCAGGGAAGAACACAAUGACGGUACCUGAGGAAUCAGCAUCGGCUAACUCCGUGCCAGCAGCCGCGGUAAUACGGAGGAUGCAAGCGUUAUCCGGAAUGAUUGGGCGUAAAGCGUCCGCAGGUGGCUUUGCAAGUCUGCUGUCAAAGCUCAGGGCUUAACCCUGAAUCGGCGGUGGAAACUGAAAGGCUAGAGUGUGGUAGGGGCAGAGGGAAUUCCCAGUGUAGCGGUGAAAUGCGUAGAGAUUGGGAAGAACACCAGUGGCGAAAGCGCUCUGCUAGACCGCAACUGACACUCAUGGACGAAAGCUAGGGGAGCGAAUGGGAUUAGAUACCCCAGUAGUCCUAGC
Molecule: ribosomal RNA, 695 nt
Filed under: uncultured cyanobacterium
Lineage: Bacteria; Bacillati; Cyanobacteriota
Description: bacterial SSU rRNA
Rfam family: Bacterial small subunit ribosomal RNA
Source: RNAcentral